UGGGGAAUCUUCCGCAAUGGACGAAAGUCUGACGGAGCAACGCCGCGUGAGUGAAGACGGCCUUCGGGUUGUAAAGCUCUGUGAUCCGGGACGAAAGAGCCUGAGGUGAAUAGCCUAAGGAAGUGACGGUACCGGAAAAGCAAGCCCCGGCUAACUACGUGCCAGCAGCCGCGGUAAUCCGUAGGGGGCUAGCGUUGUCCGGAAUCACUGGGCGUAAAGGGUUCGCAGGCGGAAAUGCAAGUCAGGUGUAAAAGGCAGUAGCUUAACUACUGUAAGCAUUUGAAACUGCGUAUCUUGAGAAGAGUAGAGGUAAGUGGAAUUUUUAGUGUAGCGGUGAAAUGCGUAGAUAUUAAAAAGAAUACCGGUGGCGAAGGCGACUUACUGGGCUCAUUCUGACGCUGAGGAACGAAAGCGUGGGUAGCAAACAGG
This 429-nucleotide ribosomal RNA is filed under the name Fusobacteriota bacterium. RNAcentral describes it as "Fusobacteria bacterium partial 16S ribosomal RNA". It matches the Rfam family "Bacterial small subunit ribosomal RNA", at positions 355 to 776 of the family's 1533-position model. The record is from RNAcentral. Lineage: Bacteria; Fusobacteriati; Fusobacteriota.